This 656-nucleotide ribosomal RNA is filed under the name uncultured Bacteroidota bacterium. RNAcentral's name for it is "bacterial SSU rRNA". It matches the Rfam family "Bacterial small subunit ribosomal RNA", at positions 88 to 742 of the family's 1533-position model. The record is from RNAcentral. Lineage: Bacteria; Pseudomonadati; Bacteroidota.
CUGACGACCGGCGAACGGGUGAGUAACGCGUACACAACCUACCUUCGAGGGGGGGAUAGCCUUUGGAAACGAAGAUUAAUACCCCAUACCAUGGACUGAUCGCAUGAUCGGAUCAUGAAAGCUCCGGCGCUUGAAGAUGGGUGUGCGUCCCAUUAGCAAGUUGGUGAGGUAACGGCUCACCAAGGCGAUGAUGGGUAGGGGGCGUGAGAGCGUGACCCCCCACACGGGUACUGAGACACGGACCCGACUCCUACGGGAGGCAGCAGUAAGGAAUAUUGGACAAUGGGCGCAAGCCUGAUCCAGCCAUCCCGCGUGCAGGAUGACUGCCCUAUGGGUUGUAAACUGCUUUUCUUAGGGAAGAAACCCUCGGACUUGUCCGGGGCUGCCGGUACCUAAGGAAUAAGCACCGGCUAACUCCGUGCCAGCAGCCGCGGUAAUACGGAGGGUGCAAGCGUUAUCCGGAAUCACUGGGUUUAAAGGGUGCGUAGGCGGCGUCAUAAGUCAGGGGUGAAAGCCCACAGCUCAACUGUGGAAUUGCCCUUGAUACUGUGGUGCUUGAAUCAGGUUGAGGUAGGCGGAAUGUGGCAUGUAGCGGUGAAAUGCUUAGAUAUGCCAUAGAACACCGAUUGCGAAGGCAGCUUACUGGACCUGCAUUG